UAAAAUGUUUGAAUUGGUUUUCUAAAAAUAUUAGAUUAGAUUAUAUUUUUUUUCAUUAUUCUUUUUUCAAAAAGUAUAGAAUUAUUUCAAUAAUAAUUGUAUCCUCUUGUAUUGUCAAGUUCAAACUUAUUUAGAUUUUAGGUUGUUUGGUGAAGGGUAAUUACGAAACUGCAUGAUGUUUGUACUUUGUUCGGAAAUACUCUUUCGAGUUGCAUUGAAAUCAUUACGACCAACAGCACGACUUACUACUGCCAGAAAUAACUUAGU
Long non-coding RNA from Achroia grisella, 267 nucleotides. RefSeq lists it as uncharacterized. The transcript has 2 exons. NCBI's taxonomy places the organism in Eukaryota, Metazoa, Arthropoda, Insecta, Lepidoptera, Pyralidae. The record is from RefSeq and is a predicted model, not a curated record.